This is a long non-coding RNA of Eupeodes corollae, 629 nucleotides long. RefSeq lists it as uncharacterized. The transcript is spliced from 2 exons. Lineage: Eukaryota; Metazoa; Arthropoda; Insecta; Diptera; Syrphidae. The record is from RefSeq and is a predicted model, not a curated record.
ACUAUUUCAAUUUUAUUUAUUUAUAUUUUUUUUCUGGAUGGGUGAAUCAAUUUGAAAUAAAUAUUACAAAAGCUUAAGCUCAGACAUUGAGGCGACCGAGCGACGACCUCGACCGCUUCUAUAAGAUUAUAGCUGAUUACUUUGCUUCUCUAUCAAGUCCAACAAUUCAAUAAUAUAUUUAUUUUGUGCUUUUAUUUCAAUUGAAACGACAGAAUAUUUCACUGUUGUUCUCUCAGCGUUCUUUUCAAAUCAGUUCCGUAUUCGGUGUAAUGAUGGCAAGUCUUAAAUUUCUACAACUUAUUUGUCUUAUUUGUACAAUAAUUCACACAAUUAAUGGAUAUUCUGUAUUAGGAGGACGAAAUCAAUAUGAAGAAAUAAGCAUUAAAAAUCAAGGAAAUAGACCGAUCUUUAUGUUCUGCGAUCAAAUUAGCAACCAUUGGAAUUGUGUGAUGCAUUGCAAAUCUUGGGGCCACACAAGUGGACAUUGCGCCAGUGAUUUUUUAUGCAAUUGUCUGUGAUUUGAUACUUUUUGUAAUUUUAUUUGAUUAUUUUUAUUAUUAUAAUAUUAGUUAAUGUUUUAAGGGCAAAGAGGUGGUGUGAUUUGAAAAUAUAUAUCCUCUGGCACAAAU